This 72-nucleotide transfer RNA is filed under the name Camelus bactrianus (Bactrian camel). It matches the Rfam family "tRNA". Rfam says of the family: Transfer RNA (tRNA) molecules are approximately 80 nucleotides in length. Their secondary structure includes four short double-helical elements and three loops (D, anti-codon, and T loops). The record is from Rfam by way of RNAcentral. Lineage: Eukaryota; Metazoa; Chordata; Mammalia; Artiodactyla; Camelidae. RNAcentral also lists the same sequence under 2 other names.
GUGAGUAUAGCUCAGAGGUAGAGCGCAUGCUUAGCAUGUACCAGGUCCUGGGUUCGAUCCCCAGUACCUCCU